AUGGCAGAAUUCCAGCAGCAUGGAGGACGCUGAUGCAAAUGUGUAUGAGGUAGAAGAGCCGUAUGAAGCUCCAGAUGGCCAGCUGCAGCUUGGACCCAGACAUCAGCAUUCCAGGGUCUCGCUCUGUCAACCCAGGUUGGAGUGCAGUGGCAAGAUCACAGCUCACUGCAGCCUCAACCUCCCAGACUUAGAGAUGGGGCUUCACCAUGUUGCCAAGGCUGGUCUCGAACUCUGGGCUCAAGCGAUCCUCCCUCAUCGGCUUCCCAAAGUGCUGGGAUUACAGACGUGAGCCACUGCACCCAGCUAGAUUGACUCUUGAUAGCAGUGAUUCUAAGCAGCUUUAAUUCUUAUUGAGCCCUCACAGUGUUAAGAAGCAAAAACAUUUUUUGUGUGCUCUUUUGUACUCUACAAAUUAAUGUCUUCUCUGCCUGGUCUUUGAAAUCUUGGCCCCAGUAAAUAUCUGUGCUGGCUAUGCAGCU
This 479-nucleotide long non-coding RNA is filed under the name Homo sapiens (human). Its description in RNAcentral is "non-protein coding lnc-NR2C1-5:1". Lineage: Eukaryota; Metazoa; Chordata; Mammalia; Primates; Hominidae. The record is from RNAcentral.